RNAcentral lists this unclassified non-coding RNA (306 nucleotides) under Hevea brasiliensis (rubber tree). The record is from RNAcentral. Lineage: Eukaryota; Viridiplantae; Streptophyta; Magnoliopsida; Malpighiales; Euphorbiaceae.
GUUAAUUCAAAGGAUUUGAGACAACCAUAUGCACAGAAAUUCCAUUUCUCCUGAGCAAACAUGGCAAGCUAGCAUUCAACAAUGGCUACUAAGAAAAAUACAAAAGCAACUCUACAAUUACAAGAGAGAGAAAGAGAGAGAGAGGUGAAAAUCGACUGCUGAAAGAAGCCCCAGCUACCAAAGCACGCAAAGAAAAAAACAGUUGCAAAGACCAUAAAAUUUUCAAAGUAAAAACCUUUUGCUUCAAAACACACCAAAUCAUAAAGUUUAUUUUCACCUUAUUGAGAAUCAGUAGGGUUUUCAUCU